RNAcentral lists this microRNA precursor (57 nucleotides) under Sarcophilus harrisii (Tasmanian devil). RNAcentral describes it as "Sha-Mir-130-P4a_pre stem-loop". The record is from RNAcentral. Lineage: Eukaryota; Metazoa; Chordata; Mammalia; Dasyuromorphia; Dasyuridae.
GCUCUUUCCCUGUUGCCCUGCUGUAUGUCCCUGAGCAGUGCAAUUGUGAAAGGGCAU